UUUAUUGCAAGCUAUGCAGAGCAAUAAACAUAAAAGAAAUCCGUUUAUGGCUAACUUUGUGACAUUCCUGAAAUCUCAAUACAUUGUAACUAAGCAGUAAACACACAUACAUAGGUAAGUGCAACCUACAAACCCCUAGAACCUGGAAUAUCAAUCCAUUGCAGCUGGAGUUCCACCUCGCCGCACUCUACAUUUCGCAGUCUAAGAAAUAUGUUCUGAACCACCUUGCCAUUAACCCAGAUAAUCUGGCUUUCUUCAGCUAGGCAAUUUUGCCUGCUUGGUGAGAUUCUUGUUAUUAUGGUUCCGUUGGGGAGGCCUUCUAGGUGCAUCUUUACGGCUUCCAGAAAUGGACCGAUAUCAAACUCUGCAUCUCCCAUUUUGUCAUCUGGGCUGAAUGUGUCCUUGUCAUAAACUUCAAUUGUGAUUGGAAGAUUUGGGUUAUCAAUGGAAAGAGUUAAGUCUUCAUUCCACUCAGGAUUGACAUUUUUCUUCACCACACGAGUCUUCAGUUUCUGUUUGCCCCUCUUGACCAGAACAUAAGGGUCACUGCUCAUCACAUCUCUGACAGCAAGAUUCACCCCUUUGUGUACAUGAAUUCUGAGAAGCCCCAACAGGUUUUCCAUAUCGAGAAAUGGAAGAAGAUGAAGAAAAGUCGCAGAAAGAAUAAGACAACGACGAGAAAAAGAAAAGCAAGAAAACAAGAAAUGAAUGGAUGAUUGGAGUGCUCAAAUUCAGCGAGAAAAGAUCAAACAGUGACGUAGUUUUUUCUUGGCUUCAUGUGUAGCAAGUCGAUUGGUG
This 798-nucleotide unclassified non-coding RNA is filed under the name Hevea brasiliensis (rubber tree). Lineage: Eukaryota; Viridiplantae; Streptophyta; Magnoliopsida; Malpighiales; Euphorbiaceae. The record is from RNAcentral.